Molecule: unclassified non-coding RNA, 300 nt
Filed under: Cladonia sp.
Lineage: Eukaryota; Fungi; Ascomycota; Lecanoromycetes; Lecanorales; Cladoniaceae
Description: partial contains small subunit ribosomal RNA and internal transcribed spacer 1
Rfam family: Eukaryotic small subunit ribosomal RNA (bases 1-46)
Source: RNAcentral
AAGUCGUAACAAGGUUUCCGUAGGUGAACCUGCGGAAGGAUCAUUAAUGAGUUCGGGGGCCUAGCCCCCAGCGGUGGGUGUCUGUCCGGGUCCAUCCGGGCUCGGCCAGCGCUCGUCGUGUACCUCAACCCCAUGUUUACCUUACCUUUGUUGCUUUGGCGGGCCUUGAGUAGGCUAUACGGCUCAUGCCGACCCCCAGCGUUUCCUGCUGGGGGGCGGCUCGCGCCCGCCAGAGGUUUAUUCAAAUCUUGUUUAUCAGUGAAGUCCGAGUAAAUAUCAAAUAAUCAAAACUUUCAACAA